Molecule: long non-coding RNA, 759 nt
Organism: Bactrocera dorsalis (oriental fruit fly)
Lineage: Eukaryota; Metazoa; Arthropoda; Insecta; Diptera; Tephritidae
Exons: 2
Source: RefSeq, a predicted model, not a curated record
CGCAAUGCAGUACUCAGCUACUAUCUAACUAAGUGAUUUAGCUAAAUUAUUUGUAUAAAAUUCUACGAAAUUUAACAAACAAGAUGUCACCGUGUCCUAUAUAUUUGUAUUUGAUGACUGGGAUUUUAUUACUUGCCAGCAGUAUACUAAGAAUUAGUGGAAAGCCUUUUGAAGGAGAUGCGAGUGCAGAACAAUUGUUCUCAAAGACAAAUGAUGGAAAGUUGUCUGCAGAAGGAAAUAAUCACACAGUUAAGCAUGUGAUAAAUAACUAUAGAGGAAAUGGAGAUUCUACGCAAGCGGAGAAUAGUAUGCGUCGGAAGAAUAUUGAAAUUAUGACGAAACAGUUUUUUGACGAUUCAUAUUCAAGUUCAAUUGAAAGCCUUUCAGUAUCUUCCGGGGAAAGUUCAAUGGAAAGCAUAUCAUCAUUUUCUUCCGAUAUUUCUAGAAGACCAGAAUUUAAUGAAGGCUUUGUAUCCCAUGAAUGGAGCAAGUAAAAGGGACUCAAAAUGUUAAGUAAUGAUGGAGAAAAGCUAAAUGUAUUAUUCAAAGAUGUGUAGAUGUGUAUUUAUUAUUAUAUCUUUUAUUAUCUAAUAAUGCUUUGAUUCAAUCUUCAAAUUUGUUGAAUUGCGAUAAUACUUUAUUUAAAGAAAAGUUAUUCAGAAAGCGCUUAUUAUGUUACUAAGCAAAUUACAUAUAUUUAAUAAGCUUAACUACUUCGUUUGAUGAGUGAACAUAAUUAAGCCUCCACAACUGGUCAAA